This 69-nucleotide transfer RNA is filed under the name Ictidomys tridecemlineatus (thirteen-lined ground squirrel). Its description in RNAcentral is "Spermophilus tridecemlineatus (thirteen-lined ground squirrel) tRNA". It matches the Rfam family "tRNA". From Rfam's summary of the family: Transfer RNA (tRNA) molecules are approximately 80 nucleotides in length. Their secondary structure includes four short double-helical elements and three loops (D, anti-codon, and T loops). The record is from Rfam by way of RNAcentral. Lineage: Eukaryota; Metazoa; Chordata; Mammalia; Rodentia; Sciuridae.
GGGGUUGUGGCUCAGUGGAAGAGCACUUGCCUAGCAUGUAUGAGGCACUGGGUUUGAUCCUCAGCACCA